GCUGGCUGCAGGUCUCUGUGGUUGCUCUGUAGCAUUAGUAAGCCGAUGACGCUGAACCACCCGUCCCUCAAACCAGCGCAGUUUGUGACCGCCUCAGCUUCUUCCGCAGCUCGUCCUGGCUCAGCAGAGCCAAGAACCUCUCAAAAAAUGGUUCCCCUGCCAUCGCAGCCACUUUAAGCAUUCGGUGUAAUAAGGAAUGCCAUGGUGUUUGGGGUUCUGACUGGUUAGUGGAGGCUGAGGCUAUGAUGGGCAAGGUGAUGAUGAGCAAGGUAAAGAUAAAAGCAGAUCAUCCAGAAUUUACCCGACAAGAAGCCUUGCACUCCAACAAAAUUCCCACGGAAUUUGAAAAAGAAAUCAUCCCACAGCAUCACAGACUCUCCACCUAACAAGUGCCUAUGUUACAUCAUAUUUAUACCCCAAAGGAGCAGAUGUCAUGGAUUUCUAAUUGAAACUUCUCAGACACUCUGAUCAACAAAGAAGCUGGGUAAAAAUCGCAAAAAUGCUUGUUACAUUUCUCUUUAUUCGCUAAUGAUUUGGGCACCUGUGAUUUAGUGAGUAAAAAAUCAUAGAGGUUGGAUUUUGUUUCAGUAUUUAAUUAAACUACUAGAAUAAACCUGAAUAUAUGAAGGUUUGUUCCACGUUUUCCAGGGGUGCCCGUAAGUAAGUCAAACCCAGAAUCAUUUCUAGCUUGAAGAAAGGUCUCUUGGUUCUCCUUUAAACAUUUGCUGUGGGUAAUUUAUUUUUCAGUGUCUACUUUUUCUCAUUCAUAGCCUAAUGGGUUAUCUGCAGACAGAAUCCGCAGUAGUACAAAAUAGAGGAUGACCUUUGGUAACUACUUGGACUGAGAAGGAUAAAAACACAUACAUUCUCCCUCUGACAAAUCUAUUUUUAGGUCAUUUCAGCUCUGCAGUUUAUUUAACACUUAUAUUUAAUAUGUACUUAGCAAGGAGCAUAAAAAAAUGUCUAAAUAUUUAAGGCCAUAAAUGGUUGAACUGCAAGUUUUCUGGUAGAUUAUUCUUGGAAUUUUUAUUGGAGUACUGAGGGACUUAGAGCUGAGGCUGCAGCAUCUUAGAGCUGUAAGGAAAAGGCAGGGGAGUCCUGCAUUUAUUCCGCCCUCGCAGGAUUAAACUUCCAAGGACUCAGAGAUGAAAUGGAGCUGACGGAGGUCUCACCACAGAUUAAGGUGUUUUUCGUCACACAUAAAAAAGGAGACAGGUUAACUUUGUGUGUUUUCUCAUUACGCAGCUUUAUGAUUUUUUAAAAUCUGUAU
Molecule: long non-coding RNA, 1270 nt
Organism: Girardinichthys multiradiatus
Lineage: Eukaryota; Metazoa; Chordata; Actinopteri; Cyprinodontiformes; Goodeidae
Exons: 5
Source: RefSeq, a predicted model, not a curated record